RNAcentral lists this ribosomal RNA (253 nucleotides) under uncultured bacterium. RNAcentral's name for it is "partial 16S ribosomal RNA". It matches the Rfam family "Bacterial small subunit ribosomal RNA", at positions 524 to 776 of the family's 1533-position model. The record is from RNAcentral.
GACAGAGGGUGCAAACGUUGCUCGGAAUUACUGGGCGUAAAGCGCGUGUAGGCGGAUUUCCAAGUCAGAUGUGAAAUCCCUGGGCUCAACCCAGGAACUGCAUUUGAAACUGGGAGUCUUGAGUAUCGGAGAGGAAAGCGGAAUUCCUGGUGUAGAGGUGAAAUUCGUAGAUAUCAGGAGGAACACCGGUGGCGAAGGCGGCUUUCUGGACGAUAACUGACGCUGAGACGCGAAAGCGUGGGGAGCAAACAGG